RNAcentral lists this ribosomal RNA (472 nucleotides) under uncultured organism. RNAcentral's name for it is "partial 16S ribosomal RNA". It matches the Rfam family "Bacterial small subunit ribosomal RNA", at positions 333 to 797 of the family's 1533-position model. The record is from RNAcentral.
ACACUCCUACGGGAGGCAGCAGUGGGGAAUUUUGGACAAUGGGGGCAACCCUGAUCCAGCAAUGCCGCGUGAGUGAAGAAGGCCUUCGGGUUGUAAAGCUCUUUUGUCAGGGAAGAAACGGUGGUGGCGAAUAACUACUACUAAUGACGGUACCUGAAGAAUAAGCACCGGCUAACUACGUGCCAGCAGCCGCGGUAAUACGUAGGGUGCAAGCGUUAAUCGGAAUUACUGGGCGUAAAGCGUGCGCAGGCGGUUGUGUAAGUCAGAUGUGAAAUCCCCGGGCUCAACCUGGGAAUUGCAUUUGAGACUGCACGGCUAGAGUGUGUCAGAGGGGGGUAGAAUUCCACGUGUAGCAGUGAAAUGCGUAGAUAUGUGGAGGAAUACCGAUGGCGAAGGCAGCCCCCUGGGAUAACACUGACGCUCAUGCACGAAAGCGUGGGGAGCAAACAGGAUUAGAAACCCGGGUAGUCCC